RNAcentral lists this ribosomal RNA (479 nucleotides) under Cupriavidus sp. USMAA24. RNAcentral describes it as "bacterial SSU rRNA". It matches the Rfam family "Bacterial small subunit ribosomal RNA", at positions 13 to 487 of the family's 1533-position model. Lineage: Bacteria; Pseudomonadati; Pseudomonadota; Betaproteobacteria; Burkholderiales; Burkholderiaceae. The record is from RNAcentral.
UUGAUCCUGGCUCAGAUUGAACGCUGGCGGCAUGCCUUACACAUGCAAGUCGAACGGCAGCGCGGACUUCGGUCUGGCGGCGAGUGGCGAACGGGUGAGUAAUACAUCGGAACGUGCCCUGUUGUGGGGGAUAACUAGUCGAAAGAUUAGCUAAUACCGCAUACGACCUGAGGGUGAAAGCGGGGGACCGUAAGGCCUCGCGCAAUAGGAGCGGCCGAUGUCUGAUUAGCUAGUUGGUGAGGUAAAGGCUCACCAAGGCGACGAUCAGUAGCUGGUCUGAGAGGACGAUCAGCCACACUGGGACUGAGACACGGCCCAGACUCCUACGGGAGGCAGCAGUGGGGAAUUUUGGACAAUGGGGGCAACCCUGAUCCAGCAAUGCCGCGUGUGUGAAGAAGGCCUUCGGGUUGUAAAGCACUUUUGUCCGGAAAGAAAUCCUUUGGGCUAAUACCCCGGAGGGAUGACGGUACCGGAAGAAU